AACGAACGCUGGCGGCAUGCCUAACACAUGCAAGUCGAACGAAGCCUUCGGGCUUAGUGGCGCACGGGUGCGUAACACGUGGGAAUCUGCCCUUUGGUUCGGAAUAACAGUUAGAAAUGACUGCUAAUACCGGAUAAUGACGUAAGUCCAAAGAUUUAUCGCCGAAGGAUGAGCCCGCGUAGGAUUAGGUAGUUGGUGGGAUAAUGGCCCACCAAGCCGACGAUCCUUAGCUGGUCUGAGAGGAUGAUCAGCCACACUGGGACUGAGACACGGCCCAGACUCCUACGGGAGGCAGCAGUGGGGAAUAUUGGACAAUGGGCGAAAGCCUGAUCCAGCAAUGCCGCGUGAGUGAUGAAGGCCUUAGGGUUGUAAAGCUCUUUUACCAGGGAUGAUAAUGACAGUACCUGGAGAAUAAGCUCCGGCUAACUCCGUGCCAGCAGCCGCGGUAAUGUCUGUACU
Molecule: ribosomal RNA, 459 nt
Filed under: uncultured bacterium
Lineage: Bacteria
Description: bacterial SSU rRNA
Rfam family: Bacterial small subunit ribosomal RNA
Source: RNAcentral